This 253-nucleotide ribosomal RNA is filed under the name uncultured bacterium. RNAcentral's name for it is "partial 16S ribosomal RNA". It matches the Rfam family "Bacterial small subunit ribosomal RNA", at positions 524 to 776 of the family's 1533-position model. The record is from RNAcentral.
UACGAAGGGUGCAAACGUUGCUCGGAAUUAUUGGGCGUAAAGCGCACGUAGGCGGCUUGGCAAGUCAGAUGUGAAAGCCCCGGGCUCAACCUGGGAAUUGCAUUUGAGACUGCGUAGCUAGGGUGCGGAAGAGGGAAGCGGAAUUUCCGGUGUAGCGGUGAAAUGCGUAGAUAUCGGAAGGAACGCCGGUGGCGAAAGCGGUCCGCUGGACCUCUACUGACGCUGAGGCGCGAAAGCCAGGGGAGCAAACGGG